GCGAUUUCAGUAGACACUACCCUUUCGAACUACGAACCAGAAGGUCGGGUGUUCGAAUCACCCCGGGCGCACCA
RNAcentral lists this transfer RNA (74 nucleotides) under Terriglobia bacterium. Its description in RNAcentral is "tRNA-OTHER". Lineage: Bacteria; Pseudomonadati; Acidobacteriota; Terriglobia. The record is from RNAcentral.